Molecule: long non-coding RNA, 1589 nt
Organism: Silurus meridionalis
Lineage: Eukaryota; Metazoa; Chordata; Actinopteri; Siluriformes; Siluridae
Exons: 3
Source: RefSeq, a predicted model, not a curated record
UGUGUGUGUGCACGCUGGCCAUGUGCUGUGUUUGGACUCCUCCUUGUCCCUUGUGAGACUGUGUGAGCGAAUGUGUGUGUCCAGUCAAGAGAAAGUGAAUGACAGCGUGGACACUGCAGGCUGUUACCCAAGACCAGAUGAGACGAAAUGAGACGAGAUGAGAUGCAGGCCACAGCUUUCGUCUUCUAAACGAUCUGCACUAAUCGGCAGGAAGUUUUUUACUACAGUGGAUGAAACUUUGACAAACCAAAGAUCAACACCAAUGAGAGAAGAAACACCGAUAUGGCAGUGAGGAUGCUUUACUUCAACUUCAACCUACAUGACAACCAGAAUCCGCUAUGUUUUUUGGUAGACCUUUCAUAUCCACUGCAGGGCAAAAGGCAGGAGUGCACUCUGAGUAGGAUGGAAAGUCCAGACAACCCUUAACUGUGAGGCUGUGAUGCUUUUCAGUUUUUAGUGGACCACCCUCUAACUAGGGAAAAGUUUUUAACGAGAUAUUUCCCGUUACACACUGAUGAUAUUCCACUGCGAAACGAACCCGACUGUUUCAACGCAUUACAGUGGAAGUGCUGCAGCGGCUCUGGUGAUGUAAAUGAAGCCGACGACCGCGUCCUCUCUCUCUCUCUCUUCCUCUCUCUCUCUCUAAUAAAGGUUUAUGGCUGUUGGUAGGAGGUCGAAGCGCCGCAGCGUCUCACACGUCUCAGUUUCUGGGGUUCUGUGGAGAUGUUAUAAAACAAGCUUUCCUUGGCACGAUGCAUUUUUCGUAUACUCCCUCAAGGACGCCAGAAGGAGUUUUGGCCCGUCUCGCUCCAGACAAUUUUCAUUCCUCUGUGGAAUCGUCCCCCAUUCCCAUCCCUGCUCCUUGGAGAAGGCGUGUUCUCUGUCCCUGGAAGGUCAUUCAUUAGAAAAAAAAAACACUGUACUGUCACUGCAAUAAAAUCUCCUGUUUUUCUUUUUCUUAUUUAGGAACCAGUCUUUUGAUGCUUUUUGUAACCACUAAUACAUUACUACAUUUUCCUAUAUGGUUUCUUUAACCUUUUGACAUUUGUAUCCCACAGUUAUAACAUUCAAUUCCUAAAGCUAAUAACCAUUAGAGUCUCACCUCUCCUAUCCCCUAUGCCUCUCUCAUUGUGCUGAGAUGGAGAUCUUUUGGGUGGUGAUGGUGGUGCUUUUGCGAUUGGUGAAAAUAAAAGAUACCUAAGGAGUAUGGAGGUGAUAGGUCAGUGGUUAGGGCAUUGGAGGUCGACUUAGGUCACGAGUUUAAAUCCCAGCACAACCAAGCUGUCAGUGCUGGGCCCUUGAGCAAGGAGUGUAGUAACUCUCAAUUGCUCAGUCACUUUGGAUGCGGGUGUCUUUCGAAUGCCAUAAAUGUAAAUGCUUAAAGACCUCAGCAUGUGUUUUAUCACGAUUGUGUAUGUUUUUUUUAUUUGAUUAUUGCCCCAUUGCUUUAUUCUUACACCUCUGUUCUGGGGAUUCAGUUACAUUUACAUUUUUGCCAUUCAGCAGACGUCCUUAUCCAGAACAACAACUGAGCAGCUGAGGGUUAAGGGCUCAGCAGUGUCAUACCACUGAACUACCCCCUUUUCCUA